Molecule: ribosomal RNA, 206 nt
Rfam family: Bacterial large subunit ribosomal RNA
GCGGGGUAGCUAUGUGCGGAAGAGAUAAGUGCUGAAAGCAUCUAAGCACGAAACUUGCCUUGAGAUGAGUUUUCCCCAGGUAUAACCUGGUAAGGGUUGUUUAAGACGAAGACGUAGAUAGGCGGGGUGUGUAAGUGUAGUGAUAUAUUGAGCUAACCCGUACUAAUUGCCCGAGAGGCUUAACCAUACAACGCUCAAGGGUUUUG